UGAGGAAUUUUGGACAAUGGGCGCAAGCCUGAUCCAGCCAUGCCGCGUGCGGGAAGAAGGCCUUCGGGUUGUAAACCGCUUUUGUCAGGGAAGAAACGCUCUGGGCUAAUACCCUGGGGUAAUGACGGUACCUGAAGAAUAAGCACCGGCUAACUACGUGCCAGCAGCCGCGGUAAUACGUAGGGUGCAAGCGUUAAUCGGAAUUACUGGGCGUAAAGCGUGCGCAGGCGGUUUGGUAAGACAGAUGUGAAAUCCCCGGGCUUAACCUGGGAACUGCAUUUGUGACUGCCAGACUAGAGUGUAGCAGAGGGGGGUAGAAUUCCACGUGUAGCAGUGAAAUGCGUAGAUAUGUGGAGGAAUACCGAUGGCGAAGGCAGCCCCCUGGGCUAACACUGACGCUCAUGCACGAAAGCGUGGGGAGCAAACAGGAUUAGAUACCCAUGUAGUCCCUGAGCGGGCUGGCAAGGCGCAU
RNAcentral lists this ribosomal RNA (472 nucleotides) under uncultured bacterium. RNAcentral describes it as "bacterial SSU rRNA". It matches the Rfam family "Bacterial small subunit ribosomal RNA", at positions 355 to 825 of the family's 1533-position model. The record is from RNAcentral.